This 2123-nucleotide long non-coding RNA is filed under the name Mus musculus (house mouse). RNAcentral describes it as "novel transcript". Lineage: Eukaryota; Metazoa; Chordata; Mammalia; Rodentia; Muridae. The record is from RNAcentral.
GUUUCAGGAUGCAAGCUCGAGGCUUCUUGAUCCUAUGUGUUGUAUUGAGUGUUGGUCACUGGUCUUUGGGAAGCUUGGACAGAAGUGGGGCAGCCAUGGAGCUGCUGACUGGGACUGGCCUGUGGCCCGUGGUCAUAGUCACAGUCAUCUUCAUAUUACUGGUGGACAUGUUGCACCGGUGCCAGCGCUGGACUUCUUGCUGCCCACCAGACCCUGUGCCAUGGCCUGUGCUGGGUAACCUGCUGCAGGUGGACCUGGAUAACAUGCCAUAUAACUUGUACAAGGUGUGGUCCUUGCUCCUUAUGGGCCUGAGUGGAAAGAGCAGAGGUGAUUCUCUGCGUCGACCCUGUGCAACUUCAGCCUGGGCAAGAAAUCACUGGAGCAGUGGGUGAUGGAAGAGGUUGGACACCUCUUUGAUGUCUUCACUGCCCAUGCUGGGAGUCCCCUCAAUCCUUACCCUCUCUUGGACAAAGCCGUGUGCAAUGUGAUUGUGUCUCUCAUUUAUGCCCAUCGCUUCGAGUAUGGAGACCCUGACUUCAUCAAGAUGCUAAAAAGGAGGCUGUAGACAAGAGAUUUGGAAAGAACACAUCUAGAAGUGUCCACCACAGUAAUAGGAGCCUGGAGAUUGACAUACAGCAAAAGGAAGUGAGAAGCUGACCAAGGUCAGGGCUUCUAGAAGCUGAGACCCUGGCCCUCUGCCCACAUGGAACAUCUGUGAGAUUUUCCAGGGUUGGCUGACAAAGUCUUCCCUGGGCAAAAGACAUUUCUCAUAAUGGUGGAUAAGCUGGUGACUGAGCACAAGAGGACCUGGAACUCGGACCAGCCGCCUCGAGACCUGACUGAUGCCUUUAUGGCUGAGAUGGAGAAGGCAAAGGGAAACCCUGAGAGUAGCUUCAAUGAUGCAAAUCUAUGUCUGGUUGUCCUUGACCUGCUGGGUGCUGCAACUGUGACCACCUCAACCACACUGUCCUGGGCCCUGCUGCUUAUGAUCCUGCAUCCGGAUGUGCAGUGCCAAGUACAACAGGAAAUCGAUGAGGUCAUUUGGUAUGUGUGGCUUCCAGAGAUGGCAGACCAGGUCUGCAUGCCCUUCACCAAUGCUGUCAUUCAUGAGGUACAGUGCUUACAGUUACUGGGAUAUCAUCCCAAUAACUUUGCCACACAGGACUUCUCGUGACAUUGAAGUGUGGGGCUUUCUUAUCCCUAAGGUAGGUCUGGGUCUCUCCAGUGUCUAGUCAGUGUUGCCAGCUACCCGCUGACUUGAUCUGCCCAGUUAAGAAGGACUAGAUUACAGGCAUUCCAAUUCUCAACUCAAGGGAACCAACAUCCCCUGGGUAAAUAUGGGAAUAGAAACAAGAGCAAUAACUGCUUUAGAAUCCCUACCUAGAAAUGCAGGCAAGGUAAAAUAUGGCAGGAGUGGUUGUAACAGCCACUACCUACAAAUACAGGUCACAGUGUGUACAUCUGUCCCAUCACAUUUCCAUGUCACAGUAUUAAUGAAAUCUGUGAAGCUUCUGUGGUUAGUUUAUAUGACAGCAUCCAGUGUGUGUGUGGUACAGGCUGUGCCUGUGAAUGUCGUGACUAGUAAGGGUCUAGUAAAACUCACCCUGUUCAUGUUCACACAAUGUGCUUCAUGCCAGGGCAUGACUCUCAUCUCCAACCUGUUCCGUGCUGAAGGAUGAGACUGUCUGGGAGAAGCCCCUUCGCUUCCAUCCUGAACACUUCCUGGAUGCCCAGGGCCACUUUGUGAAGCCUGAGGCCUUCAUGCCAUUCUCAGCAGGUGCCUCUAGGGUGCCUUCCUGCCUAUCUUUCCCUAGGGUGCCUUGGAGGGUGGAGCACCAAUCAGGUCCCAGACUGAGCCCUCUUCUACACAUAGGCCACAGAUCAUGCCUGGGGGAGCCCCUGGCCCUCAUGGAGCUCUUCCUCUUCUUCACCUGCCUCCUGCAGCGCUUUAGCUUCUCAAUGCCAGCUGGACAAUCCCUUCCCAGUGAUUAUGGCAUCUAUACAAUGCCAGUUACUCCAGCACCUACCAGCUCUGUGCAGUGGUUUGCUAGCAGGGGCAGUGGCUCCAGCCAUCAUCACAGAUUGUUCUGACUGAUGUCCAAUAAACAAGUUUUGUGUCUGAA